UGAGGAAUAUUGGUCAAUGGGCGCGAGCCUGAACCAGCCAAGUCGCGUGAGGGAAGACGGUCCUACGGAUUGUAAACCUCUUUUGCCGGGGAGCAACGGGCGCCACGUGUGGCGCAGAGGAGAGUACCCGGAGAAAAAGCAUCGGCUAACUCCGUGCCAGCAGCCGCGGUAAUACGGAGGAUGCGAGCGUUAUCCGGAUUUAUUGGGUUUAAAGGGUGCGUAGGCGGGCUGCUAAGUCAGCGGUAAAAUCGCGGGGCUCAACCCCGCCGAGCCGUUGAAACUGGCGGUCUUGAGUGGGCGAGAAGUGCGCGGAAUGCGUGGUGUAGCGGUGAAAUGCAUAGAUAUCACGCAGAACUCCGAUUGCGAAGGCAGCGCACCGGCGCCCGACUGACGCUGAAGCACGAAAGCGUGGGGAUCGAACAGG
RNAcentral lists this ribosomal RNA (424 nucleotides) under uncultured bacterium. RNAcentral's name for it is "bacterial SSU rRNA". It matches the Rfam family "Bacterial small subunit ribosomal RNA", at positions 355 to 776 of the family's 1533-position model. The record is from RNAcentral.